Long non-coding RNA from Camellia sinensis, 624 nucleotides. RefSeq lists it as uncharacterized. The record is from RefSeq and is a predicted model, not a curated record. Lineage: Eukaryota; Viridiplantae; Streptophyta; Magnoliopsida; Ericales; Theaceae.
AAUUUUUUUUUAAACAGAUACGUGCCCAGAUUUAGGCGCCCAUAUAUUUACAUCCUUUUUCUGUCUCUCUCUCACACAAAGAGCCUCACAUCUUCUCACUUCACCGAAGUCCCUCACUACCGUUGUUGACGUCCGUUGCACAUCGCCACCGCCGCAAUACGAUCAGGAUUCAACGUUGAGACAGUGGAGUACAAGAACAUUAGAGGAAAGGCUAAGGUUAAAGAAAGGAAGAACAACAAAGAAGAGAAGGAGAAAAAUUAUAAAUAGAUUAUCGAUCAAGAACUCUAGGUCAAACUUACUCAAAAUGGGUAAUAGACAAAGAGUAUGAUUGGUCUCCCAAAUGCUAUCUAUGUCAUGCUGUGAUUGAAGAGGGGGCUGAUCUUCAAACUAAUCGAUUGUGUUACUUGCAUAUUGUCAAACAUCAUACAUGCAGAUUUUUCCUUUACAUGCAAGCUGGCUGAACUUAUACUGAAUAACUACUUUCCUCUUAUUUGUUUUGUAUGAAAUUAUUAUUGUAAGUUGGAAUGUACUUGGUUUGUAUGCAAUGUUGACAUUAAAAGUUAUUCUCUUGUUUGGAUGGUUGUAAAUGAAAUAGAUGCAGAUUGUGGAAUGAGUGAUAAUUUA